This 450-nucleotide ribosomal RNA is filed under the name uncultured Glomus. Its description in RNAcentral is "SSU rRNA". It matches the Rfam family "Eukaryotic small subunit ribosomal RNA", at positions 569 to 1025 of the family's 1831-position model. Lineage: Eukaryota; Fungi; Glomeromycota; Glomeromycetes; Glomerales; Glomeraceae. The record is from RNAcentral.
AGCAGCCGCGGUAAUUCCAGCUCCAAUAGCGUAUAUUAAAGUUGCUGCAGUUAAAAAGCUCGUAGUUGAAUUUCGGGACCAUCAUGUCGGUCGUGCCUCGGUACGUACUGGUAUUGUUGGUUUCUCCCUUCUGACGAACCAUGAUGUCAUUAAUUUGGUGUCAUGGGGAAUCAGGACUGUUACUUUGAAAAAUUAGAGUGUUUAAAGCAGGCUCGCGCUUGAAUACAUCAGCAUGGAAUAAUGAAAUAGGACGUUUAAUUCUAUUUUGUUGGUUUCUAGGAUUGACGUAAUGAUUAAUAGGGAUAGUUGGGGGCAUUAGUAUUCAAUUGUCAGAGGUGAAAUUCUUGGAUUUAUUGAAGACUAACUACUGCGAAAGCAUUUGCCAAGGAUGUUUUCAUUAAUCAAGAACGAAAGUUAGGGGAUCGAAGACGAUCAGAUACCGUCGUAGUC